Molecule: microRNA, 22 nt
Filed under: Oryza sativa (Asian cultivated rice)
Lineage: Eukaryota; Viridiplantae; Streptophyta; Magnoliopsida; Poales; Poaceae
Also listed under: 1 other name
Description: osa-miR1861e
Source: miRBase by way of RNAcentral
CGGUCUUGUGGCAAGAACUGAG